AUCUGAAAUAGUAGCCUAUUAGUAUGGUAAUUUUUUAUGAAACUAAAUAUAAUAUUCUGUCUUUUAUUAGAAAGAAAGAAAGAAAGAAAGAAAGAAAGAAAGAAAAAGUAAGAAAGCAUACUGUGUAAUUUCACAAGUGUGUCAUGAGGUCUGAACUUCUGAUCAUGCGCUCAUGCACAUCUCCUUAUCUAAAUGAGUUUCUGUCACAAACCUCAGUAAACAUAUCAGGCUGUCUGUUGAUAUUAAACCCAUACAGUAACUAAACAACUAGUCCCCAGCAUUAUCGCACGACUGUAAUAACAGUCAAGGGGAAUUCAUAACACAAACUCGGUGUCUGUCUUUAACAGACCCUACUGAACACUUCCCUGCUUAGUCACACACACACACACGCACACACUGUAUGAGUCUCUGCGCCUCCCAGCGUGUGUGUACGCGCACCAAUCGGCCACACACUUGACCGAGUCUCGGUCGACAAGGGCGGGGCUCCAGGUCUAUGAAACUGAAUUACCGGCAGACUAAAACUAAACUUACCCGAGCCGUUCGCUUCUCUCCGUGUGUCGUGCGUGGGAAUGUACUCGCAGCUGCGUGGGAACAAUCAUAUAAACUGCUCUACAAUGUCUUAACAUUGGAGUUUUAUUUAUCACCGAGAGCCUCAAGACUGAGAGACUUUGACACAUGCAGCUGUUUAUUAUUUUGCUCAGCUUUAACGUUGGACAAAAUGAAAUAAAUCGACAUUUCACAGGGAUCUGAAGAUUUCAGCUGUUAACAUCUUCCCCCGUCCCGAAGUGAUUGUGAAUCGAAUAAGGCUGGCAGGUCUAGGGAGAGGCAGGCAGCAUGGCUGAACCCAGACGCGACAGCACCAGCAGCCUGCAGCGCAAGAAGCCACCAUGGCUAAAACUGGACAUUCCCACCGCUCAGGUGUCCAUGGAUGAAGCUCCAGCUUUUAUUCCGCCCAUGAAGAGGCAUGGUUUCCAUCGCAGCAUCAGUAUGCCUGUGGAAACGUCUCAUCUCCCCUCUCCUCCACGUGACAUCUUUGACCCCCAUCGAGCUGCUUUCCAGCGUCAGUCUUCAAUCACCCAAACCAUCAAGAGCAGCAGGAGGGUGCACUUUGAGAGGAUUAACACUGUGCCCAUUAAGGGUCACCGUGCAGGGCGGCGUGGUUUCAGAAGGCAUCAGUCCCUCUCCAGAACCCUGCUCAGGGGCACAGCGGACUGGUUCGGGGUCAGUAAGGACGGCGACGCCACGCAGAAAUGGCAGAGGAAGAGCCUGCGACACUGCAGCCUGCGCUACGGCAAGCUGAAACCUCAGGUGAUCCGUGAGAUGGAGCUGCCCAGCCAGGACAACAUCUCCCUGACCAGCACAGAAACCCCUCCGCCUCUAUACGUACCCUCAUCUCAGCAUGGCAUGCAGAAGAUUGUGGACCCGUUGGCACGAGGGCGUGCGUUUCGCAUGGUGGAGGAGGUAGAUGGCUACAGUGUGCCUCAAACUCCCAUGACCCCCGGCGGUGCAUCCCUCUGGUCCUUCAACAGCUCGCGCUCGGGCCUAAACCGCAUCCCACGCAGACGCAAGCGCGAGUCUGUGGCCAAGAUGAGCUUCAGGGCAGCAGCAGCUCUGGUCAAGGGUCGUUCGCUGCGUGAAGGCACGCUAAGACGAGCUCACAGGCGCAGCUUCACACCUGCUAGCUUUAUUGAGGAAGAUGUUGUGGACUUUCCAGAUGAACUCGACACAUCGUUCUUCGCCAGGGAUGCCCUGAUGCAGGAGGAGAUGUCCACCUUUCACGAUGAGGUGUUUGAGUCUCCAUCAGACUCCACCAUGAAGGACGUGGACAGCAAACAGCUGGAUGAGUCGGAGCUAACCGGCAGCGCGCUGGACAAAAGCGAGUUAGAGAGGAGUCACUUAAUGCUGUGAGAUUCACAACGCAUUUACAUGAUGCCAUAUUUCCUCCCACAAUGAUAUCAAAACAUAUUUUACAGUAGAUAAUUAUUAGGUAUUUCAGAAA
Cyprinus carpio (common carp) is the source of this 1999-nucleotide long non-coding RNA. Lineage: Eukaryota; Metazoa; Chordata; Actinopteri; Cypriniformes; Cyprinidae. The record is from Ensembl.